AUAGGACUGUCUUAGAAUGGUGUA
Molecule: microRNA, 24 nt
Filed under: Glycine max (soybean)
Lineage: Eukaryota; Viridiplantae; Streptophyta; Magnoliopsida; Fabales; Fabaceae
Description: gma-miR4378a
Source: miRBase by way of RNAcentral